Non-coding RNA from Oryza glaberrima (African rice), 207 nucleotides. The record is from Rfam. Lineage: Eukaryota; Viridiplantae; Streptophyta; Magnoliopsida; Poales; Poaceae.
GAAAAGCUAAACUAUGGGUUUCCGUGUACAACUUGACUGUCCGUCUUAUGUGAAAUUUUUUUAUAAUUCGUAUUUUUAUUGUUGUUAGAUGAUAAAACAUGAUUAAUAUUUUAUGCGUGACUUGUCUUUUUGAUUUUUUUUUUCAUAAUUCUUUUAAAUAAGACGGACGGUCAAACAUUGGGCACGAAAAUCAGGGUUUGUCUUUUU